Long non-coding RNA from Vidua macroura (Pin-tailed whydah), 1267 nucleotides. RefSeq lists it as uncharacterized. The transcript has 2 exons. Lineage: Eukaryota; Metazoa; Chordata; Aves; Passeriformes; Viduidae. The record is from RefSeq and is a predicted model, not a curated record.
UCUUCCCUAAAAUUUUCCCUAUACAGAUACUGACAUUGGAGUAAUGUUUUGUCUACUGACAAUAUGUUUGAAUUUCUUUUUCCAUUUGUUUUACUCCAAAGUAGAAAUACUCUUAUCUCAUAGGGAAAACCACUGAUCUUCACCUAGAAUUUGUGCUACCUAAAGGUUUGUUCUAGUAAAGCAUUUACUUAAUUUCAAAAUUGCUAAUUUAUAUAUUGAAUUAUGCUAAUAAUAUAGCAUAAUUUAUGUAUGUGUAUUUAUGUAUGCUAUAAUAUAGCAUAUAUUUGUAUGCGUGCCUUUAAGUAAGGUAGCUAGGGUUUGAAUUGGUGGAGAAGAUAGUUCUUGGUCAGUGCUAAAUCCACAUCUUAUCUACCUGCUAAAACUUUGAUUUUUGGUGUGGAGAGAGUAGCAUGAUCAAAGUGCUGGCUGUGUGGGAGUGUUGGUUGGAAGGAAUUUUUGGGGCUUAUCAGUCCAGGUGUCUGCUCGGGAUUAUGAGCAACAGUAGCUUGCUGUCUGUGGCUUAGCCUGCAGAGUCUUGAACACCCCUGAGAGCAAAGAUCAUCACCAAACCACCUUGCCAGGUGUGUUUUCUAAUGUCCAGUCUGAAGCUUCCAAGCUGUUACUUAUGAUGCCCAGAAGAGUUUGCUUCCAUGUUUAUGUAAUGUGCCUUCAGCUUUACUUAGUAUGUGAUUACCCCUAGGCAGCCUCCUUGUCAUACUAAAGAAACCCAGCUCCCAAACCUUUCAUUAUCAAGGCUCUGUGCUAUUUUACUGACUCCUGCCAGGUUCUCAAAUUCCUUUUCCGCCUGGGGGACUUGAAAUAGAACACAGUAUUUGAGCUUCAGUCUCACCAGCAUUGUGUUUCCUUUGACUGCACUCUUGGUUUCCCUGUUUGCAGUGAGAGCUGACUCCUGGCUUAUAUUCAACCUGACAAACAAUUUGAUCUCCAUAUCUGUCUCAUUAAGGCUGUUGUUCAACUGGUCUGAUCCCAGGCUCCACUGAAGCACCCAGGAGCACAAUUUUUCACUUUGCAAGGUUCCUAAGGUUGGCUUAUUCCUCAAGUUUAUCAAGGUUGUUGAUGAAGAUACUGUGUGAUAUUGGCUCCAGCCGUUGGUGGUGCUUACCUGCUACCAGCUGGAUGCUGAGCCAUCAAUUACUGCUCUUCAAGUUCAGCAGUAUGGCCUGUGGCCAUUCAGUCUAACAGGCCAUUUCUCCAACCCUCCUGUGGGAAACUGGAUUAGCCCUAGUCAAUAAAAACUGGACUGUGA